RNAcentral lists this long non-coding RNA (5211 nucleotides) under Triticum aestivum (bread wheat). Its description in RNAcentral is "long non-coding RNA (TAES_LNC025901)". The record is from RNAcentral. Lineage: Eukaryota; Viridiplantae; Streptophyta; Magnoliopsida; Poales; Poaceae.
UUUUAUUGUUGUUGCACAUCCUCCUGAGCCUCCAUGCUUCUGUACCUUAAUGCAGGCUGUUCGUUGUAUUCUCUGUGUGUCAAAUUCCUUAUUGACAAUUUGUGUGCUACUACUUGGCAUUUGUUGAAGAUGUAUGUUUUAUCCCUAUCAGAUAUUGGGGCUAUAUACAACUUGAUUAUAAAGUUGCAACUAACUAGAUUUUGUGAUCUCGAAUCUCACCAGUUGUGCACAACUCCUAUACAACAUAUAUAUCCAUCUUGUUUCAAGAUACGGUACAAUUCGUAUGUUAGGGCCAAGUCUGUAUUUUAUACUCAGCAUGUGGUCUGGUUUGACUGUUUCUCGUUUUGGUUUUAGUAUGAGAUUAGUUGAGUAUGAAUUGGCCACGAUGCGAAAGUGUUUAGAUGUGCACCUAAUAAAUACAGUAGGCUGUUGUUGGUUGGAGUUUGAUGGCUCCCUCCCUGUAUCUUUCUGGCCGUAUUUUCAACUGUCUGUCACCCUGUCACCUGCAUCAGAAACUAGGUGAGAUGAGGUGAUUUCUUCUGCUUCCGUUCCCAGUUAUGGUACAUGCUUCCCACUUCUCUUCCUUUAUUUGCAACUGGAUUUCCUUGUCACUUAAGCCAUGUUUUCUGCUCUUUUAAUAAAAAGAGUUGAUGAAACGAUGUUUUCUGCCGUUGUUCCAUUAUUCUGUCGAGGAAUUGGGCGAUAUGUGGUUUCGCUUUCUAGUUCAUUUUGGACAGACCUGCAAAAUUAUUCUGGUUGCCUUUGGUAACAAUGACAUGCCUACUUGGCUCGCUAAAAUUGUUUGAUGGCUUGUCAAUCUCAAGCACGCAACUGCUCAGUUGUUAUCAAUCAAUGACUUGGUUUGUUCAUGGUUGAGAUUGAUCUCUCUUUCGCGUCAAUCUUUUUCCCUUCCAGUGAACUCUGUACAAAAAUACAUCGAGCAAUUUACAGUGAUUUGAAACACCGAAUUGACGACGCAACAGUCUUCUCUUCACGCACCUUUUCUAGAGGAAUGUCUUGUUCGAAAUCGAUCUGUCAAAACAAGCAGCUUUUCUCUUGUUGGUACUACAAAAAUUGUGGUUCCUUCUUUGUUUCUCUGUCCCGUCGUCUGCCUGUUCGGUCAACGGAUGGUGGCGAAUCCCCCGUGCCUCCACCUUUUUAAAGAUACUUGUUGGUAUAAAGGUUCAGACUAUCUUGAUAUUUUCAUGUUCAAAUCAUGCUUUAUUACAUGUUCGUAUCUCAAACAAGAUUCUUCAACGGGGGAUCAGUGAGAUGAUGGCGAGGCCUUGAGCCCAAGCGUGGAGGGGUGAGUGAAAGGAAGACAGGAGAAUUGGUGCUGGGUUUUCUCCACCGUUUUGGAGGCACCUCCCAUCCCAGCUGAUGGAUCAUGGAUGGGCAUCUUGUGCCAUCCACUUGGGUGGUCCAUGGAGAAUCGGCGGAUGCAUGCAGUACAGUGCGCGUGACGGUGGAAUCAUGGUCUGAUGGAGCCCAAGGACCAUGGGAGUUGCAGUAGUAGAUAGAUCAUCAAACAGUGGGUUGCGUUCUGGGGACACCGGGUCGUGAAGGAACAGCGACCUACGCGUUUUGGUCUACUGUACACUGGUCUUCAAGAAUGAGACGGGCUGUACGCUGCAGGAUUUGGUGGCUGUUGUGAGGGAAUGAGUUCGCAGUCGCGAUGGCACUCGGUGGAUCUCUCUGUCUCGAAAGUAUUUUUUUGAGAGGGAAAUGGAAGUGUGUAGUAGGGUGAGCUAAAAGUGACAGCAAGUCACUAAAGGCCUGUUCGAAAUCUCUCCGGUCCGCUCCACUCCGCGGAGCUCCUCGGUUUGAGCUGCUCCGUGGAAAUAAGUUGCAGUUUCCCCCGCUCCGGGAGCGCAGUCCAGGGAGCGGAGAGGAACCGAACAGGCCUUAAGUCAGCAAGUGUGGUUCAGAAUCCAGAGCGGUUGAUUGGCGUUGUUUCAUGGUCAAUACUGGUAUAUGCGGACUUGGACGGGAAUUAAGCACGCUUGAUUUGCCGGUCAGAGAGGGUUUGAUGGGUCCUGAUGCAGAAAUGGCAGCCGAACCAUCAUGAACCAGAUUAAUUCCCCAUCUAUAGCUUGUGGGGGUAAGGAUAGUUGAAACUAUGCGGAAUUAACACAGGGACUCACCGGAGAUGAAAUGCAGAGCUGCUGAAACUAUGCAAUCCCACCGUGAUGCUACACAUGGAUCUAGCUGAAGAUACACAGACACUCCAACACGCAGAUUUGGAUUUAAAGACGCAAAUCUACUGCAGAUGCAAAGAAAUACUAUAGCUGUUUGGAUGCAUAAAUUCGGCAAGCUUGCGUCCCCAGGUCCCCACGCCAUGCAUGGUUUGAUCGUGGAUCUUCUGGCAGGCUGGUACUACAAAAUAGUGCAGUGACACGACGGCCGGUGCACCUGUGAGCUACUCCUACUAGGUUAUCUGCACCUUCACUCAGCGUUCCCAAAUUAGAAACUGAUCGACACGAGCAGCGGCGGGGCCGCAGGCGUAUGGAUUGAGUGUAGGCCACAUGUAUCGGGAGCUGAAAGUGCGCUCCAAGACCUGAAGGGCGAGAGCGAGUGGGCGGGCUGCUGGUCGACGCACGGCGUGAGCGAGCGAUGGAGUGUUUGACCGGUGUUCCCGCCGGCCAGACGUGGUUCCGUUGGCGCGGGGGACAAUGAUCAACUCGGCGAGAGCGACCAGGGCCUUUGGCGUCGAGCGAGCGCGCCGUGCCGACCCGGCAACGGCAACGGCGGGACACGGGGGAUGUCAUCCCAUUUCUCCUCGCCCUCGGCUCAGCUGAUGCCGAUGCGGCAGGCAGGGCAGGUCGGUCGGGCCGGCAGCGCCACAGCCUUUCGUGGCUACGCGCGCGCUGCCGGGUGCCGGCCCCCCUGCACCCGCGUCGACGCCCCUCCUCUCCUGUUUCGGCAGUCUCUUUCACCACGCGACUUUGCCGAGCGCGCUGUGCCUUGCGGUGGCCCAGGCCACGCUCGGCCACGGAGUCUAGUACUAGUAUACGUACGAGUACUACAAGAUCGUGGAUACGCAUUAAUCGGAGAUCAGGCGAUCAAGGACGGAAGAGAGCAGCCAGGUGGAUCAACUGGCGUACACUCCUCAGCCGAACGGAUAUCAUCCCCUAAGCCAUCUUUAACGGCAAGCCACAGAAAGAACUCCCGCAUUUGUCCGCGGACAGAGGGACCAAUCCGCGAAUAUGGAUGCGGGAGGCAGCCAUCCAACAUUAGCCGCAUAUAUUUUGACUAUUUUUUAAUAAAUUGAAUGAAAUUCAUGUAAACACAUGCGUAUUUUGUACAAACAUAACAUAUUUAUACAAACACGGCAGAUUUAACUACAUUUAGAAGAAAAAAAAGACCCGCCCCUAAGCACAUCAUACGGCGGCGCUCGGCCGGCGUCCAAACCCGUGUCGUCUUUCUUCUGCCGUCUCCAUGAGCACCGGCGAUAAGACAGAUAAAGUGAAUGUGCGAUCUCUGGCUAGGAAGAGUAGAACACGGGAGACAGACCGGCCCACAUGAGAUACCAGGCCCCGCCGCCUCCCAUGGCCUACUCAUCCGAACAACAGCUUGAGCGCGGAAGGCAUCAUAGAUGGCACGCUGCUCCGCGAUGAAAUUCAGGCUCGUUGCAGCCAUGGCUGCCACGGCUUCCUCGCUCGCGCGCUCGCCGUAGAUCUAGCCGUCCACCAGCCAGUGCUGCUUCAGGAGAAACAUGUUGUACCGUUGUUCCUCCUGCGCCCACUGAAACGCCGACAAAGGCGCCAGAGCAGGCUGCACCUUCACCAUGUCGGCGUUGAACUGUGCAUGCGCCUGCUCCAUGGUGAAGCCGGCGUGCACAGGAGGCGCAGGAGCUGGGGCGGAGUCGUCGGAGCCCGUCUCUAUCGUGGUGUUGUCCUCGUCGUUGGAGACCUCGGGCGAGCUGGGCGGCAAGCCAGCCUUGAUCCGUCUGGCACGCCGGCUAUGCCAGGCGGCGGCAAGGGCGGCCAUCGCGUGCUUUAUCUCCGACGACAAACUGUCUCACAAUGCUUUCCCGCUGGCAGUCAUGGCGGAUGUAGUGCAAGGGAGUAUGAUGUGUAGGGGCUGGUGUUGUGGUGUGGUGUUAACAGGGUGUAGCCGCCUUUAUAUAGUGGAUUUCGGUGAGGCUAGGCAUCUUGGGGCGUCAAUGCGCGGCGUCGGAGUGGGCUUCUCGGCCGACAAACCUACUUAAUGGCGGCAGACGGACGGACAACGGCAUUGAACGGGCGCGACAGAUAUCCGUUCCGUCCAGUCCAGUCACGCGCCUCCGGUGUUGAACAUGCGCGGACACGGAAGACGCGUCACGGGCGGCGCCCUCAGCCGGCGCGCCGCUUCAAUGGCGGAGGCAGUCAGAGAUUGUGUCCGCUCUGAGCCGUCUUCAACGUUGAACGAUGCGCUCUACAGCGGCAUGAAAUGCGGGCAUUUGGCGCCGGAGGGGGGAGGGAGGAGUUCUUGGUGGGUCAGGACGGUCAGAAAACGGGUUUGAGAUCAGUCCGGACUCCCGUAAACCUCGUCCACGUUUGUCUUCGGUUUGCGAUAGAAAUCGCGUUCGGACCGCUCCGUGGACCGAUACAGGUCGACCUUGAAUGGCUUCCGCUGUCUGGACAGCACGGUCCAAACGUUUGAGAGAGGUUUUUUUUUUGCUAAUGAAACGGUUGAGAGAGGUUUACGAGUAUGUUUUGAAGAUACCCUGACGUGAGCAACACCAGCAGCACCAUGCAUUCCCAUGAUAUAUACUCCUACGUGGCAUGCACCCGGCGCGUGUCCGCCUCAUGCGCGCCUCGCUCGACCGGGCCGAACCGAGCGCCCACUCAUCAACGACCCCGGUGGCGGUGGGGAUCGAGAAUAGUCAGUCAGUCAAUGGCGUCUCCCGUGGCCGUUGAGAAACGCGAAUUUGAUGCUCCAUUUCCUUUCCCCUUUUCACGGUGGACGUGGUGGUGGUCGUGGAACAAAGCCUAGGAGCAUGGACCGGUGAAUACGAUUCCCCGCCCGCCCCGUCGAAUCCGCGUUGAAAAGCUCGAAAUGGAAAUCGAAAUGGAAAGCUCUGCUACGAGCAGCCUCUUUUUAUUACGGCCAUUUGUUCAUUUUCCCGGGUCAUGCUCCCGGCCAUCUGUAACAACCAACGGAUGCACGUCUGUUACUUUACCAAAAUACCAAGCCUGAACCGAACCCAUCCAUCUGACCAAAAAAAAA